UUCCUCUGUAGUUCAGUCGGUAGAACGGCGGACGGUUAAUCCGUAUGUCACUGGUUCGGCUCCAGUCAGAUGAGCCAA
Molecule: transfer RNA, 78 nt
Filed under: Edwardsiella ictaluri 93-146
Lineage: Bacteria; Pseudomonadati; Pseudomonadota; Gammaproteobacteria; Enterobacterales; Hafniaceae
Description: tRNA-Asn
Source: RNAcentral